RNAcentral lists this ribosomal RNA (477 nucleotides) under Triticum aestivum (bread wheat). Its description in RNAcentral is "partial small subunit ribosomal RNA". The record is from RNAcentral. Lineage: Eukaryota; Viridiplantae; Streptophyta; Magnoliopsida; Poales; Poaceae.
AUGAGUCGACCUGAUGGGAUCAACAUCCCCGACGGCAAGUUCUACCUUGGAGAUGCUGGCUAUGCAUGUUGGCCGAGUGUUCUUCCACCCUUCAGGAAAACCAGGUACCAUCUCAACGAGUUCUCUGGUAGGAACCCUAGGACUCCACAGGAGCUGCUUAAUCUCAGACACUCUAGCCUUAGAGUAACUGUUGAGAGGGCAUUUGGAGCUCUGAAGAAUAGGUUUAAAAUCCUGGAUCAGAAGCCAUUCCACCCAUACCCCACGCAAGUUAAGCUAGUUUUUGCUUGUUGCAUUCUGCAUAACUGGAUCCUCCAGUGGGGCUUCGAUGAACACGUGCCUGAGGAGGAAGAGGUCGAGCCUGACGAUGUUGUUAGCUCUGACCAUGGUGUGGAGGCAUUUGACAAUGACGGUUGGAAGAACAAAAGGUUGGAGUGGGCAGAGGCAAUGUGGCUUAACAGAGGUCAGUGCAGGAUUUGA